Otolemur garnettii (small-eared galago) is the source of this 763-nucleotide long non-coding RNA. RefSeq lists it as uncharacterized. The transcript is spliced from 4 exons. The record is from RefSeq and is a predicted model, not a curated record. NCBI's taxonomy places the organism in Eukaryota, Metazoa, Chordata, Mammalia, Primates, Galagidae.
GAAAGAAACUGGUAUGAGGUUCUAGAUCUUUCCAUGUCUGAGGAGGUGGGCAAGGCACAGGUAUGAGGUUCUGGGUCUACCAGUGUCUGAGGAAGUGGGCAAGGCACAGGUAUGAGGUUCUGGAUCUUCCCAUGUUCGAGGAGGUGGGCAAGGCAUAGGUAGGAGGGUCUGCCAGUGUCUGAGGAGGUCAGCAAGGCACAGGUAUGAGGUUCUGGGUCUGCCUGUGUCUCAAGAAGUAGGUAAGGGACAGGUUCUGAAUCUUUCCAUAUGUGAGGAGGUGGGUAAGGCACAGAUAUGAGGUUCUGGGUCUGCUAGUAUCUAAGGAAGUGGGUAAGGGACAGGUAUGAGGUUCUGGGUCUGCUAGUAUCUAAGGAGGGAGGCAAAGCACAGGUGUGAGGUUCUGGAUCUUUCCGUGUCUGAGGAGGUGGGCAAGGAACAGGUAUGAGGAUCUGGAUCUUUCCAUGUCUGAGGAGGUGGGCAAGGCCCAGGUAUGAAGUUCUGAGUCUGCCAGUGUCUGAGGAGGUGGGCAAGAAACAGGUAUGAGGUUCUGGAUCUUUCUGUGUCUGAGGAGGUGGGCAAGGCACAGGUAUGAGGUUCUGAGUCUGCCAGUGUCUGAGGAAGUGGGUAAGGCACAGGUAUGAGGUUCUGGGUCUUUCAGUGUCUGAGGAGGUGGACAAGGCACAGGUAUGAGGUUCUGAGUCUGCCAGUGUCUGAGGAGGUGGGCAAGGCACAGGUAGGAGGUUCUGGAUCUUUCUAUGUCUGA